This 253-nucleotide ribosomal RNA is filed under the name uncultured bacterium. RNAcentral describes it as "partial 16S ribosomal RNA". It matches the Rfam family "Bacterial small subunit ribosomal RNA", at positions 524 to 776 of the family's 1533-position model. The record is from RNAcentral.
GACGGAGGAUGCAAGUGUUAUCCGGAAUCACUGGGCGUAAAGCGUCUGUAGGUGGUUUAAUAAGUCAACUGUUAAAUCUUGAGGCUCAACCUCAAAAUCGCAGUCGAAACUAUUAGGCUAGAGUAUAGUAGGGGUAAAGGGAAUUUCCAGUGGAGCGGUGAGAUGCGUAGAGAUUGGAAAGAACACCGAUGGCGAAGGCACUUUACUGGGCUAUUACUAACACUCAGAGACGAAAGCUAGGGUAGCAAAUGGG